This 2247-nucleotide ribosomal RNA is filed under the name human gut metagenome. RNAcentral's name for it is "bacterial LSU rRNA". It matches the Rfam family "Bacterial large subunit ribosomal RNA", at positions 148 to 2488 of the family's 2925-position model. The record is from RNAcentral.
UCAUCAUAUACUGAAUACAUAGGUAUAUGAGGGGAACCGCCUGAACUGAAACAUCUAAGUAGGGCGAGGAAGAGAAAUCAACUGAGAUUCCGUAAGUAGUGGCGAGCGAACGCGGAAGAGGCCAAACCGAGAGUAGUAAUACUUUCGGGGUUCGGACAGAAAACGGUAUUGUAAAGGUUUAGUGGAAUGGAAUGGGAAGUCCAACCGAAGAAGGUGAGAGUCCUGUACACGAAAAGCCUGAACAGCCAUCUGUAUCCAGAGUACCGCCGGACACGUGAAACCCGGUGGGAAUACGGGGGGACCAUCCUCCAAGCCUAAAUACUACUCGGUGACCGAUAGUGAAGAAGUACUGUGAAGGAAAGGUGAAAAGUACCCCUGACGGGGAGUGAAAAAGAACCUGAAACCUUGUGUUUACAAGCACCGAAAGCUCAUCAAAGAGCGAUCGGGUACCUUUUGUAGAAUGGUCCGGCGAGUGAAUGUAACCGGCGAGGUUAAGCACUUAAGGUGUGAAGCCGCAGCGAGAGCAAGUCUGAAUAGGGCGUAUGAAGUCGGUUGUAUUCGACCCGAAACCGGGUGACCUACCCAUGGUCAGGUUGAAGUAAAGGUAAAACUUUAUGGAGGACCGAACCGACUCCCGUUGAAAUGGUAGCGGAUGAACUGUGGGUAGCGGAGAAAUUCCAAUCGAACCCGGAGAUAGCUGGUUCUCUCCGAAAUAGCUUUAGGGCUAGCCUUGAAAUAGAUUACCGGAGGUAAAGCACUGAAUUGGCUAGGGGCCGAGAGGUUACUGAACCUUAUCAAACUAAGAAUGCCGGAUAAUCGUUUUUCAGGAGUCAGACAGUGGGAGAUAAGUUUCAUUGUCAAAAGGGAAACAGCCCAGACCCACAGCUAAGGUCCCCAAGUAUAGUUAAGUGGAAAAGGAUGUGGAAUUGCACAGACAACCAGGAUGUUGGCUUAGAAGCAGCCACUCAUUAAAAGAGUGCGUAAUAGCUCACUGGUCGAGUGACUCUGCGCCGAAAAUUUAACGGGGCUAAACUAUACACCGAAGCUUGGGAUACAUCUAAUGUAUGGUAGGAGAGCGUUCUGUAUGGGGAGAAGUCGUAGCGAAAGCGGCGGUGGACUAUACAGAAGUGAGAAUGCCGGAAUAAGUAGCGAGAAUUAAGUGAGAAUCUUAAUGGCCGAAAGUCUAAGGUUUUUGGAGGAAGGUUCGUCCGCUCCAAGUAAGUCGGGAGCUAAGGUCAGGCCGAAAGGCGUAGCCGAUGCACAUACGGUUGAUAUUCCGUAACCAUCUGUAAUUUAAGCAAAGGGACACUUCAAAAGGGUGUGACCCGGGCGUUGGUUGACCCGGGCGUAAGGGACCGAAAUUAGAGUAGGGAAGCACACUUAGCUGAAGGCGAGAAAAGCUUUGCGUAUAGAAACAGAUGCCCGUACCGCAAACCGACACAGGUGGACAGGAAGAGAAUUCUAAGGCCAGCGGGAGAAGGGUAGUUAAGGAACUCGGCAAAUUGACUCCGUAACUUCGGAAUAAGGAGUGCUCGAAAGAGCCGCAGAGAAUAGGCCCAGGCGACUGUUUAGCAAAAACACAGGUCUCUGCCAAAUCGAAAGAUGAAGUAUAGGGGCUGACACCUGCCCGGUGCCGGAAGGUUAAGAGGAGGAGUGAGAGCUCCGAAUUGAAGCCCCGGUAAACGGCGGCCGUAACUAUAACGGUCCUAAGGUAGCGAAAUUCCUUGUCGGGUAAGUUCCGACCCGCACGAAUGGUGUAACGAUCUGGGCACUGUCUCAACUACCCACCCGGCGAAAUUGUAGUACCGGUGAAGAUGCCGGUUACCUGCGGCAAGACGGAAAGACCCCAUGGAGCUUUACUGUAGCCUGAUAUUGGGUUUCGGAAAUCUAUGUACAGGAUAGGCGGGAGACUUGGAAACAUGAGCGUCAGCUUGUGUGGAGUCGAUGUUGGGAUACCGCCCUUAGGUUUCUGGAAUUCUAACCUGCGGCCGUGAAUCCGGUCGGGGGACAUUGUCAGGUGGGCAGUUUGACUGGGGCGGUCGCCUCCGAAAAGGUAACGGAGGCGCUCAAAGGUUAGCUCAGCACGGACGGAAACCGUGCCUCUGAGUGUAAACGCAAAAGCUAGCCUAACUGCGAGGGUGACGGCCCGAGCAGUAACGAAAGUUGGAGUUAGUGAUCCGGCGGUAUGUGAAUGGAAAUGCCGUCGCUCAACGGAUAAAAGCUACCCUGGGGAUAACAGGCUGAUCU